Molecule: ribosomal RNA, 599 nt
Filed under: Enterobacter sp. CIR11Bg
Lineage: Bacteria; Pseudomonadati; Pseudomonadota; Gammaproteobacteria; Enterobacterales; Enterobacteriaceae
Description: bacterial SSU rRNA
Rfam family: Bacterial small subunit ribosomal RNA
Source: RNAcentral
CGGGCGGUAGCACAGAGAGCUUGCUCUCGGGUGACGAGCGGCGGACGGGUGAGUAAUGUCUGGGAAACUGCCUGAUGGAGGGGGAUAACUACUGGAAACGGUAGCUAAUACCGCAUAACGUCGCAAGACCAAAGAGGGGGACCUUCGGGCCUCUUGCCAUCAGAUGUGCCCAGAUGGGAUUAGCUAGUAGGUGGGGUAACGGCUCACCUAGGCGACGAUCCCUAGCUGGUCUGAGAGGAUGACCAGCCACACUGGAACUGAGACACGGUCCAGACUCCUACGGGAGGCAGCAGUGGGGAAUAUUGCACAAUGGGCGCAAGCCUGAUGCAGCCAUGCCGCGUGUAUGAAGAAGGCCUUCGGGUUGUAAAGUACUUUCAGCGGGGAGGAAGGUGUUGUGGUUAAUAACCACAGCAAUUGACGUUACCCGCAGAAGAAGCACCGGCUAACUCCGUGCCAGCAGCCGCGGUAAUACGGAGGGUGCAAGCGUUAAUCGGAAUUACUGGGCGUAAAGCGCACGCAGGCGGUCUGUCAAGUCGGAUGUGAAAUCCCCGGGCUCAACCUGGGAACUGCAUUCGAAACUGGCAGGCUAGAGUCUUGUA